Molecule: long non-coding RNA, 1491 nt
Organism: Scylla paramamosain (green mud crab)
Lineage: Eukaryota; Metazoa; Arthropoda; Malacostraca; Decapoda; Portunidae
Exons: 4
Source: RefSeq, a predicted model, not a curated record
GACACUUCUGCUUGAAUGCCGCUAAACUUUUGGCAUGAAUCAGGACCAGGCUUAAAGGAUCUUUGUUCUGAAAUGUGGGCGUUGUUAUGCUGAUGGUGUUAUGGGUAGCCGAGUGUUGUGUCAGGACGACUUUGCUUGGUUAUCUACAUCUUUGCUGGGGUGAUCUAUUCAUGUGGAAGAACAUAUUUUCUCCUUUUUAAAUGCCACAUAACCGGAUAGCAACAGAGUAAUGGGAACAACUGAAUGACCGUCGCAAACUAUCAUAAUUGCGGGCAUGACGGGAGGAAGCAGAUGGCCACCAGAGGGCAGAGCUGCAGACAGUGAGCACUGUCCGUGACGUAGUGGUGUUAGGUGGACGCGUGUGUUUCCCUCUGUUUCCGGGGGAAGUUUCUGAUAUUUACUAUACUGUCUUCAAUAUUGACUUACCUGGCUGACGGCGGGACGUGCCAUGGCCUCCCUCGCCUGCAGGAAGGACGUGAGAGGCGCAGCAGAGCACAGCAUGCACUAACUCGCCACUAUGAAUCCUCACUCUCGCCAGUAGAGGCACCGAGACUUUGGGAGUUAGCGUGUGUCUGAUGCAGCAGCGAGAGUUGAAGAGCUCCAGCCAGGAAUUAAGAUUUAUAUGGCAAGCGUUUUGAAACUUUUAAGGGUGAGUAGUUACAAGUCUUGGGGAUGUUGGAAGGACGGAUUGGAGUGUUAAGUUUUAAAUAUGGUGGAGAGAAUCACGAAGGAUCGCAAAGGAAGAACAAACAACAACAGACGUGCUGGUGCGCACGAAGCUGUUUGUGGUCAACUACAGUAUCUGAUAUAGAGUAAGAGACGCAGGACAAUAAAGGUGAACGGUAAAAAUAUAUUCAGGGGAAAAAGUCCUGGUAAUUAUCUCUCCCAUAAAAGAAGAAGAAGAAGAAGAAGAAGAAGAAGAAGAAGAAGAAGAGGAAGAAGAAGGAAAAUAAGAGGUCUAUUAAAUGUUACAGGCGAAAACAAGCAAAAUUAUUAAUUUCUUUCACCUGCUACAUAUUCAUUAUUUUUUCAUUAAUUAAAAAAAAGUGCGGAGCUCUUAACUCUAACUGCAAUAGGCUUUCAGUUUUCUUAGAGUAUUGCGGUGGAAGCUUGAAUUGUGAUUCCGAAAGACACCACAGGUAGCAGGAGGAGUGAUGAAGUUCAAAUUUUUCAUUACCUGUAGACAAUCAGCAGCAGCUAUGGCUUGAUAUAAAGGAGUUAAUCUGUGCAUUAAUUCCUACUCACUUUGUUGACAGAAUUCACUGGACUUUUUGAGAUCACUGGGUCACCUGUACACAGAGGUGGGGAAAUUCUGGCGCGUCACAUAAAACAUUCAAAGCGAACAUAAGAGUGAACGUGAAAUCAAGUAGAAUGUUGGAGUUUGAUCAGUGUGCUCGCCUGCCUGUGACGCGCCGGGAAAUGGCCGCCACUGACAUGCUGAUUGCGCUGUAAUUUUUCAUCAAUGGCCCGGAAAGCUGCCGCUGUGCUCAU